RNAcentral lists this ribosomal RNA (465 nucleotides) under uncultured bacterium. RNAcentral's name for it is "partial 16S ribosomal RNA". It matches the Rfam family "Bacterial small subunit ribosomal RNA", at positions 338 to 795 of the family's 1533-position model. The record is from RNAcentral.
CCUACGGGAGGCAGCAGUGGGGAAUAUUGCGCAAUGGGCGAAAGCCUGACGCAGCGACGCCGCGUGAGGGAUGAAGGUCUUCGGGUCGUAAAACUCUGUCAGCAGGGAAGAACGGUCACUGUGCUAAUCAGCAGUGAAUUGACGGUACCUGCAAAGGAAGCACCGGCUAACUCCGUGCCAGCAGCCGCGGUAAUACGGAGGGUGCGAGCGUUAAUCGGAAUUACUGGGCGUAAAGCGCUCGUAGGCGGUAUGUCAAGUCAAGGGUGAAAGUCCCGCGCUCAACGUGGGAACUGCCUUUGAAACUGGCAAACUGGAGUGUGUGAGAGGAUAGUGGAAUUCCAGGUGUAGGAGUGAAAUCCGUAGAUAUCUGGAGGAACACCAGUGGCGAAGGCGACUAUCUGGCACAUAACUGACGCUGAGGAGCGAAAGCGUGGGUAGCAAACAGGAUUAGAUACCCCAGUAGUC